CAGUCGCCGCGGGAACACGUAGGUGGCAAGCGUUGUCCGGAAUUAUUGGGCGUAAAGGGCUCGCAGGCGGUUUCUUAAGUCUGAUGUGAAAGCCCCCGGCUCAACCGGGGAGGGUCAUUGGAAACUGGGAAACUUGAGUGCAGAAGAGGAGAGUGGAAUUCCACGUGUAGCGGUGAAAUGCGUAGAGAUGUGGAGGAACACCAGUGGCGAAGGCGACUCUCUGGUCUGUAACUGACGCUGAGGAGCGAAAGCGUGGGGAGCAAACAGGAUUAGAUACCCCAGUAGUCCCUGUCUCUUAUAC
This 301-nucleotide ribosomal RNA is filed under the name uncultured bacterium. Its description in RNAcentral is "partial 16S ribosomal RNA". It matches the Rfam family "Bacterial small subunit ribosomal RNA", at positions 509 to 807 of the family's 1533-position model. The record is from RNAcentral.